CUCUCUCUCUCUCUCUCUCUCGGCCUCCAAUCUUGCUUUCAAUCAAUUUCAGAUUCCUCACUCUCAAUCUUUUUGGUGUACUCUCUGUCUUGCUAUCCCUUAAGGCUGCAUGUUUGUUUCUGGGGCCAUUGACUAGGUAUGGAAUUUGAAUCCCAGGCUCAAGCUCCCAAAGUGUUUGAAAAUCCACUCUCGUUUUGCCUUUAGUUGUAGAUAUUAGUUCCAUUUCUGUUUCUUUUUUUUUUUUAAAUAAUAAUAAGGCAGUUACAUACUAGAAAUCUCUCUCUUUUUUUCCCCCAUUUUUUUGAGCAAGCAUCAAUUGUUAAAAACAGACCUCAUACCAUAUAAGCAGAUCAUUCCUCAUGCUAAGUUAAAAAAUAUUUAGGAGAUAUGAGAUUUCAAUGAAAAAUAAGCUUCUAUGGGACACUGAUAGACUAUAGGCAACCAUCUAUUAAAUCACUUUAGUGGAGAUCAAUCUUAGUUAUGCAAUACAGCAUAAAAUAAAACACAUAUUUAUUGUUGAAAUUGGAAACCACUAACCUUUGUGCCAAAAGGACCAACAGGAUGGUUAAUUUCAAGAACAUCCUUCCCCUGAAGCUCAGCUUCAAGCUCCUCGCGCUCAUGUCCAGUAGCAAUAGGCAUUACAUCCUCAAUCCUCUUUUUCACAGCACCAUCUGCUUAAAAAUAGUUAAUUCAUUACAUAUAGACACGUGCAUUUGAACAAACAUGCCCACUAUUACAUUGCUCACCUUAAAUCUACCCCAACUCAAAUUUCUUAUAUGCCUAUGCAUAAAAAUAAAAGAAUACGCCCAUUUUUCAAAUGGUACAUAAACAAAUCUGCCUGUGUUUGCUUAUAACUAAUCAUUUUCUACCAAAAUGAGUUAACAGACGCAAUUUAGGAUAUUCUCCGCUGAUACAUGACUAACUAUAAUCAUGGAAGCAUAAAUGCAUUUAUUUCCAUACAUAACCACACAUACCAUAAUCAUGGAAGCAUAAAUGCACUUAUUUCCCGCCAUAGCGAUACAAAGGCCAAAUAAAUCGAACAGAAUAUACGAAAAGAUAAAAUAGCUAUACAGAUAUACAAAUAUGAAAGUGAAGUGAAGAUCUGAAGUAUAACCUGAAUCGAUACUGAAGUAGCGAUUGGAGAGAGAAGUGGAAGGCGAUGGGGAAAUGAAGAAUCGAUUAGAGGAAGCAAAUAGGGAGACGGCGGAAGCAGAUCGGUAGGAGGAGGCUAGGGUUUUGAGCUGUGAAGAAAGUGCUCUUCUCCACAUCGUCUUCGUUUUGGUGGAUUUAGAUUCUGUGUUCUCUUGUGAUUGAAGGUCACACCCUGUAUGUAUCUCUGGUUUUCUUUCUGCUA
This 1354-nucleotide unclassified non-coding RNA is filed under the name Hevea brasiliensis (rubber tree). Lineage: Eukaryota; Viridiplantae; Streptophyta; Magnoliopsida; Malpighiales; Euphorbiaceae. The record is from RNAcentral.